UUGCCAUUUUUUCCAUUUUUUUCCAGACAGAAGUAACUUCUAAAACAUUGCUAGGGAAACGCUCUGACAUCUUCCGUAGAGGUGAAAAAGCACAGGUCUGACUCAGGUAGCUGCGAGUUCAAGUUCAGCCGCAGGCUCUUCCCCAAGGUGCUGGUCUUCGCAGGAACCCCUUGCAGGCAGCUGCAAAGAGCAGCACGGCGCGCACACACAGGGUCCGGCUGGCGUCUGGCCAGAGCAAGGGAACAGUAAGUGUGUCCUGGAGGCGCUCGCCAUGCACUCACACGCCAUCUGUGGAUUCGGAAGUGACCUCCCCCUCGGUUGAUGAGGGUUCUCUGCGUCUGGAGAACACAGGACGUCCACAGGAAAGUUCUCCCUCCUGCACUCCCGGCUGGCUCUGAAAAUUAUGAAGGCAGAGACGUCCGUGCCUGAUACUGUCCUGGCAGCCACGUGCCCUCAUACACUUGCCCAGACCCUGAAUGUGCUACACGGAGUGACCCCAAUUACACCGUGGGCCCCGGGUGACUGCGACAUGUGAGUGCAGGUUCACCCACGUCACAGACGAACCGCUCCGGUGCAGGGGGAGCUGCGCACGUCGGGGCGGGGGCUGUGGCGUGGGACCUCUGUACCUUCUCUCAAUUUGGCUGUAAGCCUACAACUGCCCUAAAAUAAAGUCUCUUUAUUUAUUUUUUUAUUUAUUUUUACGCAGCUCUCUUUUCCUUAAAAUAAAGGCUCUAAAAUUGUGUGAUUCCACCUCCCUGAGGCUAAGCGAAAGAGCCGCGUCUGCCCCUGUCCUUCCCGGGGGCUGGCAGGGAGUGGGUGCCCGGCGGUGACUCAGCCCUGCAGCCUCCCAGCCCUUCCCCGUAUGCGGGCAGGUGAUGCGGACGCCUCCGACCCUCGUGGGGUUUGUGGAGAGCGUUGAUCAGCGCUGCCGUCAGAACAGGACCUGUGCGAGGCCUCGCAGAUGCCGGGAGCCGGGCGGUGCUCUCGGUGCUUCUCAUCAAAUCCACUGGCUCUUCGAGAGGAAGCACAUGUCACAGCCCAGCUCAAACAAGAAGCAAGAAAAUCACUCUUCAUUUUGGAAUUGUAAAAUAAAGUAGAAAUUAUCCUCAGGCUAGAGUGACCUUCCCGUCCUGCCCCAGCCACCCCCCACCUCCCAGCACCUGCCGGUAACAGCCCUGCACACAGCCCCGAGACCCUCCGCCAAACCCAGCCCACCACCCCCGGGAGGGCUGUGGAAGAGGCUAGAGAGCGCAUCCCCUCUGGCUCCUGGGGUGGAGGCCUGCUGUGGGUUGGCUGGAAUCAGCCCCCCUCCCCCGUGUCCUGGGCCCCUGCAGCCCUGCGAGGCGGACACCUAGCCACCCCUCAUCCCAGGGAAGCCAGGGCCAGGGAAGGGCCCAGGAGGGGAGGGUUCGCCCUUCCUGCUGGAUGUCGUUCCUUUAAAAAUCCCUGCCG
Molecule: long non-coding RNA, 1452 nt
Filed under: Homo sapiens (human)
Lineage: Eukaryota; Metazoa; Chordata; Mammalia; Primates; Hominidae
Description: non-protein coding lnc-EGFL7-1:4
Source: RNAcentral